AGUGAACGCUGGCGGUAGGCCUAACACAUGCCAGUCGAACGGCAGCACAGUAAGAGCUUGCUCCUACGGGUGGCGAGUGGCGGACGGGUGAGGAAUACAUCGGAAUCUACUUUUUCGUGGGGGAUAACGUAGGGAAACUUACGCUAAUACCGCAUACGACCUACGGGUGAAAGCAGGGGAUCUUCGGACCUUGCGCGAUUGAAUGAGCCGAUGUCGGGUUAGCUAGUUGGCGGGGUAAAGGCCCACCAAGGCGACGAUCCGUAGCUGGUCUGAGAGGAUGAUCAGCCACACUGGAACUGAGACACGGUCCAGACUCCUACGGGAGGCAGCAGUGGGGAAUAUUGGACAAUGGGCGCAAGCCUGAUCCAGCCAUACCGCGUGGGUGAAGAAGGCCUUCGGGUUGUAAAGCCCUUUUGUUGGGAAAGAAAAGCAGCAGGUUAAUACCCCGCUGUUCUGACGGUACCCAAAGAAUAAGCACCGGCUAACUUCGUG
RNAcentral lists this ribosomal RNA (492 nucleotides) under uncultured bacterium. RNAcentral's name for it is "partial 16S ribosomal RNA". It matches the Rfam family "Bacterial small subunit ribosomal RNA", at positions 29 to 507 of the family's 1533-position model. The record is from RNAcentral.